This 253-nucleotide ribosomal RNA is filed under the name uncultured bacterium. Its description in RNAcentral is "partial 16S ribosomal RNA". It matches the Rfam family "Bacterial small subunit ribosomal RNA", at positions 524 to 776 of the family's 1533-position model. The record is from RNAcentral.
UACGGGGGGGGCAAGCGUUGUUCGGAAUUACUGGGCGUAAAGGGCUCGUAGGCGGCCAACUAAGUCGGACGUGAAAUCCCCAGGCUCAACCUGGGGACUGCGUCCGAUACUGGAUGGCUUGAAUCCGGGAGAGGGAUGCAGAAUUCCAGGUGUAGCGGUGAAAUGCGUAGAUAUCUGGAGGAAUACCGGUGGCGAAGGCGGCAUCCUGGACCGGCAUUGACGCUGAGGUGCGAAAGCGUGGGGAGCAAACAGG